RNAcentral lists this ribosomal RNA (328 nucleotides) under uncultured eukaryote. RNAcentral describes it as "partial 18S ribosomal RNA". It matches the Rfam family "Eukaryotic small subunit ribosomal RNA", at positions 1470 to 1796 of the family's 1831-position model. The record is from RNAcentral.
CCCUUAGAUGUCCUGGGCCGCACGCGCGUUACACUGAUGCAUCCAACGAGCUUAUAACCUUGGCCGAGAGGCCUGGGCAAUCUUGUUAACGUGCAUCGUGAUAGGGAUAGAUUAUUGAAAUUAUUAAUCUUGAACGAGGAAUUCCUAGUAAACGCAGAUCAUCAAUCUGCAUUGAUUACGUCCCUGCCCUUUGUACACACCGCCCGUCGCACCUACCGAUUGGAUGGUCCGGUGAAGCCUCGGGAUUGUGGUUCUUGCCGCUUUAUUGUGGCGUGACCGCGAGAACUUGUCUAAACCUUAUCAUCUAGAGGAAGGUGAAGUCGUAACA